Molecule: ribosomal RNA, 274 nt
Filed under: uncultured bacterium
Lineage: Bacteria
Description: partial 16S ribosomal RNA
Rfam family: Bacterial small subunit ribosomal RNA
Source: RNAcentral
AUACAGAGGGUGCGAGCGUUAAUCGGAAUUACUGGGCGUAAAGCGCGCGUAGGCGGCUACUUAAGUCAGAUGUGAAAUCCCCGGGCUCAACCUGGGAACUGCAUCUGAUACUGGUAAGCUAGAGUUUGGGAGAGGGAAGUAGAAUUUCAGGUGUAGCGGUGAAAUGCAUAGAGAUCUGAAGGAAUACCAGUGGCGAAGGCGACUUCCUGGCCUAAAACUGACGCUGAGGUGCGAAAGCGUGGGUAGCAAACGGGAUUAGAAACCCCAGUAGUCC